GGGGAAUAUUGCGCAAUGGGGGCAACCCUGACGCAGCCAUGCCGCGUGAAUGAAGAAGGCCUUCGGGUUGCAAAGUUCUUUCGGUAGCGAGGAAGGCAUUUAGUUUAAUAAACUAGGUGAUUGACGUUAACUACAGAAGAAGCACCGGCUAACUCCGUGCCAGCAGCCGCGGUAAUACGGAGGGUGCGAGCGCUAAUCGGAAUAACUGGGCGUAAAGGGCACGCAGGCGGUGACUUAAGUGAGGUGUGAAAGCCCCGGGCUUAACCUGGGAAUUGCAUUUCAUACUGGGUCGCUAGAGUACUUUAGGGAGGGGUAGAAUUCCACGUGUAGCGGUGAAAUGCGUAGAGAUGUGGAGGAAUACCGAAGGCGAAGGCAGCCCCUUGGGAAUGUACUGACGCUCAUGUGCGAAAGCGUGGGGAGCAAACAGGAUUAGAUACCCUGGUAGUCCACGCUGUAAACGAUGUCGAUUUGGGGGUUGAGCUUUGAGUUUGGCGCCCGUAGCUAACGUGAUAAAUCGACCGCCUGGGGAGUACGGCCGCAAGGUUA
Molecule: ribosomal RNA, 546 nt
Filed under: uncultured bacterium
Lineage: Bacteria
Description: bacterial SSU rRNA
Rfam family: Bacterial small subunit ribosomal RNA
Source: RNAcentral